AUUGAACGCUGGCGGCAUGCCUUACACAUGCAAGUCGAACGGCAGCACGGGAGCUUGCUCCUGGUGGCGAGUGGCGAACGGGUGAGUAAUAUAUCGGAACGUACCCUAGAGUGGGGGAUAACGCAGCGAAAGUUGCGCUAAUACCGCAUACGAUCUACGGAUGAAAGUGGGGGAUCGCAAGACCUCAUGCUCAUGGAGCGGCCGAUAUCUGAUUAGCUAGUUGGUGGGGUAAAGGCCUACCAAGGCAUCGAGUCAGUAGCUGGUCUGAGAGGACGACCAGCCACACUGGAACUGAGACACGGUCCAGACUCCUACGGGAGGCAGCAGUGGGGAAUUUUGGACAAUGGGGGGCAACCCCUGAUCCAGCAAUGUCGCGUGAGUGAUGAAGGCCUCGGUU
This 397-nucleotide ribosomal RNA is filed under the name uncultured bacterium. RNAcentral describes it as "bacterial SSU rRNA". It matches the Rfam family "Bacterial small subunit ribosomal RNA", at positions 30 to 424 of the family's 1533-position model. The record is from RNAcentral.